AUUGAACGCUGGCGGCAUGCUUUACACAUGCAAGUCGAACGGCAGCGCGGGCUUCGGCCUGGCGGCGAGUGGCGAACGGGUGAGUAAUGCCUCGGAACGUGCCCAGUAUUUGGGGAUAGCGCGGCGAAAGCCGGAUUAAUACCGCAUACGACCUGAGGGUGAAAGCGGGUGCCCGAGAGGCCUCUCGCCAUUUGAGCGGCCGAUGUGGGAUGAGCUAGUUGGUGGGGUAAAGGCUUACCAAGGCGACGAUCCGUAGCUGGUCUGAGAGGACGACCAGCCACACUGGGACUGAGACACGGCCCAGACUCCGACGGGAGGCAGCAGUGGGGAAUUUUGGACAAUGGGGGCAACCCUGAUCCAGCCAUGCCGCGUGCGGGAAGAAGGCCUUCGGGUUGUAAACCGCUUUUGUUCGGGAAGAAAUCCUCUGGGCUAAUACCCCGGGGGGAUGACGGUACCGGAAGAAUAAGCACCGGCUAACUACGUG
Molecule: ribosomal RNA, 484 nt
Filed under: uncultured bacterium
Lineage: Bacteria
Description: partial 16S ribosomal RNA
Rfam family: Bacterial small subunit ribosomal RNA
Source: RNAcentral